CCUCACCCUCACCACCACCACCAUAUUAUUAUAAAUCUCCACCACCACCUAAACAUUCACCACCACCACCAUAUUACUACAAGUCACCACCUCCUCCCUCACCAUCACCACCUCCACCAUACUACUACAAGUCACCACCUCCACCUAAACAUUCACCACCCCCACCAUACUACUACAAGUCCCCACCUCCUCCCUCACCAUCACCACCUCCACCAUACUACUACAAGUCACCACCUCCACCUAAACAUUCACCACCCCCACCAUACUACUACAAGUCUCCACCUCCACCUAAACAUUCACCACCUCCACCUUAUUACUACAAGUCACCACCACCACCCUCACCAUCUCCUCCUCCUCCAUACUACUACAAGUCUCCACCUCCUCCUUCACCGUCUCCUCCACCACCAUACUAUUAUAAAUCUCCUCCACCACCUUCUAAAUCUCCUCCAACACCAUACUACUAUAAAUCCCCACCACCACCUUCACAUCCUUUACCACCACCCUAUUAUUACAAAUCUCCAC
Molecule: long non-coding RNA, 522 nt
Filed under: Populus tremula
Lineage: Eukaryota; Viridiplantae; Streptophyta; Magnoliopsida; Malpighiales; Salicaceae
Description: long non-coding RNA (PTRE_LNC001763)
Source: RNAcentral